RNAcentral lists this ribosomal RNA (320 nucleotides) under uncultured eukaryote. RNAcentral's name for it is "partial 18S ribosomal RNA". It matches the Rfam family "Eukaryotic small subunit ribosomal RNA", at positions 1470 to 1796 of the family's 1831-position model. The record is from RNAcentral.
CCCUUAGAUGUUCUGGGCUGCACGCGCGCUACACUGAACAGUUCAACAAGUCUUAACCUUGGCCGAUAGGUCUGGGUAAUCUUUGAACGCUGUUCGUGAUUGGGAUAGACCUUUGCAAUUAUGGGUCUUCAACGAGGAAUUCCUAGUAAACGCAAGUCAUCAGCUUGCAUUGAUUACGUCCCUGCCCUUUGUACACACCGCCCGUCGCACCUACCGAUUGAAUGGUCCGGUGAAAUCUCGGGACGGCGGCUUGGUCGCUUGCGUCCGACUGCUGAAACUUGAUUAAACCAUAUCAUUUAGAGGAAGGUGAANUCGUANCA